AGUGAACGCUGGCGGUAGGCCUAACACAUGCAAGUCGAACGGCAGCACAGGAGAGCUUGCUCUCUGGGUGGCGAGUGGCGGACGGGUGAGGAAUACAUCGGAAUCUACUCUGUCGUGGGGGAUAACGUAGGGAAACUUACGCUAAUACCGCAUCCGACCUACGGGUGAAAGUAGGGGAUCUUCGGACCUUGCGCGAUUGAAUGAGCCGAUGUCGGAUUAGCUAGUUGGCGGGGUAAAGGCCCACCAAGGCGACGAUCCGUAGCUGGUCUGAGAGGAGGAUCAGCCACUCUGGAACUGAGACACGGUCCAGACUCCUACGGGAGGCAGCAGUGGGGAAUAUUGGACAAUGGGCGCAAGCCUGAUCCAGCCAUACCGCGUGGGUGGAGAAGGCCUUCGGGUUGUAAAGCCCUUUUGUUGGGAAAGAAAUCCAGCUGGCUAAUACCCGGUUGGGAUGACGGUACCCAAAGAAUAAGCACCGGCUAACUUCGUGCCAGCCGCCGCGGUAA
RNAcentral lists this ribosomal RNA (506 nucleotides) under uncultured bacterium. RNAcentral describes it as "partial 16S ribosomal RNA". It matches the Rfam family "Bacterial small subunit ribosomal RNA", at positions 29 to 523 of the family's 1533-position model. The record is from RNAcentral.